UGGGGAAUAUUGCACAAUGGGCGCAAGCCUGAUGCAGCCAUGCCGCGUGUGUGAAGAAGGCCUUCGGGUUGUAAAGCACUUUCAGCGAGGAGGAAGGUGGUGAGCUUAAUACGCUCAUCAAUUGACGUUACUCGCAGAAGAAGCACCGGCUAACUCCGUGCCAGCAGCCGCGGUAAUA
Molecule: ribosomal RNA, 178 nt
Filed under: uncultured bacterium
Lineage: Bacteria
Description: partial 16S ribosomal RNA
Rfam family: Bacterial small subunit ribosomal RNA
Source: RNAcentral